Molecule: long non-coding RNA, 1722 nt
Filed under: Pan troglodytes (chimpanzee)
Lineage: Eukaryota; Metazoa; Chordata; Mammalia; Primates; Hominidae
Description: lincRNA
Source: RNAcentral
CAAGGACCAGGAGCGGGAGCCGAGCCUCGCGGCCCGGGGCACGGCGCCGCCCGCCCCUCCCCGGCAGUGCCUCCCGACCCCCUCCCCUCCGCUGGGACAUGGCCUGAGGCCCCGCCCGCCGCCCGGGACCCCUCCCCCACGCUGCCCCCGGACCCUCGCCCCAGGACCGCGGGGUCUCUUCCCGGCCCCGCCGCCCGCCCCGGCGAGAACAGGCCCGGCGGGCAAGGCGGCGGCGGACCGAGGGAGGCCUGGCCCGGCAGCGGGGAGAAGGGUGCGGUGCAGCCCGAGUUUCCCACCUUUUCUCCUGGCCCAGACGCGGCUGGGGCGGACGGGACCUCUCGCGCUCUGCCUCCUCCUCUUGCUUCAUGGAGCCAUGCGCCUGGGUGGGGGCUCCCGAGAGAAGCUGGCCUGCGGGCGGGCCGGACGCGCUGCGCGGACGCGGCGGGGCGAAGGAGGCCGGCAGGCGGAGGAGGAAGCGGCGGGGCGGAGGCGGAAGCGGCGGGGCGGCGGCGGCGGCGGCGGCGGGGCGGCGGCGGCGGCGGCCGGGAAGAACUAGAGGUGUUCCCCGGGCGGCUGGAAGACUGAGUCGAGCCGGGACCCGAGUCCUCCGGUAUCCCAGCAGCCACCGGAGGCAGUGAGGUAAUGGAGGAAGAAUGUAGGGAGUCCUCCAGUGGACCACACUCCUUCUAGCGAGCCGCGGAAACCAUAGAGAUCAGGGCUCAGCCGGAGGGCCGGCCCACUGCUGUCACGUGGCCUCCAUCCGUGCGCUUUAUUGGCUGGUGCUGGCUUUACGGGGUUGAAUUUUGGACGCUGCCUGCCAUUCGUGGGACCGAGUUUCAGGCAGCUGGAAUAAAGAGAGACAUCGGGGGAAAGCCGCGAGAAGGCCAGCGUCCCUGGCUGGGAGCAGAGCUAGCCGAGUAGGGCGCCCGGCUGUCAAACUGGCCGGCGCAGUCGCAGAGCCCGUCGGGAGUCGUAGUCAGGGACGGGCCCGCGGCAUUGUCCGCGACGCAGCUCGGGAUCCGGGUCGGGUUGUCGGCCGGGUUGCUGCCGGGCACCGUCGAGCGUUAGCCACCCAGCAUUGAGCUGCCAGCGACUGUUCUCCCUAAGCACCCUCGCUCACGUCGCCUCGCCUCGCCUCGCCUGACCGGCCGCAGCCUUGGAUACCAGCCUUAAAUCGAGCCGACUACGGCCCAGCCCCGCCCGCGGCGAGGUGCGCGGGGUUCGGUGCCAGCCGCUCGCCCCUGGCCGGGCCAGCCUCUUGAUGCACCGGGGACGGGCGCGCCCAUCCGACUCUUCGAGGGGCGGCAGGGCCCCAUCUGUGUCUUUCGCUCUCGAGCCCCCAGCUAGUUGGCUUCAGCGGAAUACCUACUGUGCAGGAUUAUUCAACAAGCCGAUUGAUCACAUUGUUCAGCUCUAGCAGUGCAAAGGCUUCACUGAAAAAGAACAUUACAAAUUUUUUUUGAAAGAAAUUUGGGCGUAAAUUUAAUUUUAAAUACUGAUUUUUGAUAACAUUUGAUCUUAUGACAGCAUUUCUAUUUUUAAUUACAGAUAGGAUUACACUAAAAGUCAUUUCUGACCUGCUCCCUUACCCUUAUGGCUAAAAUAAACUGCUAGGCCCUGAAGCAAAGGCGAGCCAUGUUCUAGAGCAAUGUCUUUCUUGUAUUAAAAUACGGCCCCAUGCUCACAAAAAAAAAAAAAAAAAAAUGUUGGAGUGUAAACAUA